Molecule: long non-coding RNA, 483 nt
Filed under: Homo sapiens (human)
Lineage: Eukaryota; Metazoa; Chordata; Mammalia; Primates; Hominidae
Description: HSALNT0345744
Source: RNAcentral
GAAGAUUCAAGUGAACCAGGGAAGGAGAAUGACAUCAGACUGGGCUUGUGCCUGAUAAUUCAUUUCUGAAGUGCUUCAAGAUUGACGCAUCAGAUUUGCACAAUGUGCCACUUUAGGAGAUUAUUUCUUCCUUCCUUCAGCCAGACAGAAGACUGCAGUAGGGAUAUGGUUCCUGUUUGCCUAUUUCCAUCCACAACUCUGCCAGAGACGAAAGCAGUGUUUGAAACAAUUCACCAAGAUUUCCAUCUGGAAUCAUCAAGAAUGGAAUUGAUCAAAUUCCUUAAGAAAUUUACUUAAAGUCAUGAUUUUGACAGCCUAGUGCUACCUGGAAAAGGGACAGCAGCAGCCUGGAGCAGUUUUCUAGCUAACAAGAAUUUUGUUAGCUAUGUGGCCACCUAGUGGCUCUUCCAUGGAUGUCGCUGAUGCAUUGUCAGGUACACAGACAAUUGCCCACUAAUAAAGAAGUUAUUAUCUUUCUUGGAA